This is a non-coding RNA of Triticum aestivum (bread wheat), 135 nucleotides long. Lineage: Eukaryota; Viridiplantae; Streptophyta; Magnoliopsida; Poales; Poaceae. The record is from Rfam.
UUUCUACUCCCUCCGUCCGAAAAUACUUGUCAUCAAAAUGGAUAAAAAGAGAUGUAUCUAAAACUAAAAUAUGUCUAGAUACAUUUCCUUUUAUUCAUUUUGAUGACAAGUAUUCCGAGACGGAGGGAGUAUUUG